GGUUAAGCGACUAAGCGUACACGGUGGAUGCCCUGGCAGUCAGAGGCGAUGAAGGACGUGCUAAUCUGCGAUAAGCGUCGGUAAGGUGAUAUGAACCGUUAUAACCGGCGAUUUCCGAAUGGGGAAACCCAGUGUGAUUCGUCACACUAUCAUUAACUGAAUCCAUAGGUUAAUGAGGCGAACCGGGGGAACUGAAACAUCUAAGUACCCCGAGGAAAAGAAAUCAACCGAGAUUCCCCCAGUAGCGGCGAGCGAACGGGGAGCAGCCCAGAGCCUGAAUCAGUGUGUGUGUUAGUGGAAGCGUCUGGAAAGGCGCGCGAUACAGGGUGACAGCCCCGUACACAAAAAUGCACAUGCUGUGAGCUCGAUGAGUAGGGCGGGACACGUGGUAUCCUGUCUGAAUAUGGGGGGACCAUCCUCCAAGGCUAAAUACUCCUGACUGACCGAUAGUGAACCAGUACCGUGAGGGAAAGGCGAAAAGAACCCCGGCGAGGGGAGUGAAAAAGAACCUGAAACCGUGUACGUACAAGCAGUGGGAGCACGCUUAGGCGUGUGACUGCGUACCUUUUGUAUAAUGGGUCAGCGACUUAUAUUCUGUAGCAAGGUUAACCGAAUAGGGGAGCCGAAGGGAAACCGAGUCUUAACUGGGCGUUAAGUUGCAGGGUAUAGACCCGAAACCCGGUGAUCUAGCCAUGGGCAGGUUGAAGGUUGGGUAACACUAACUGGAGGACCGAACCGACUAAUGUUGAAAAAUUAGCGGAUGACUUGUGGCUGGGGGUGAAAGGCCAAUCAAACCGGGAGAUAGCUGGUUCUCCCCGAAAGCUAUUUAGGUAGCGCCUCGUGAAUUCAUCUCCGGGGGUAGAGCACUGUUUCGGCAAGGGGGUCAUCCCGACUUACCAACCCGAUGCAAACUGCGAAUACCGGAGAAUGUUAUCACGGGAGACACACGGCGGGUGCUAACGUCCGUCGUGAAGAGGGAAACAACCCAGACCGCCAGCUAAGGUCCCAAAGUCAUGGUUAAGUGGGAAACGAUGUGGGAAGGCCCAGACAGCCAGGAUGUUGGCUUAGAAGCAGCCAUCAUUUAAAGAAAGCGUAAUAGCUCACUGGUCGAGUCGGCCUGCGCGGAAGAUGUAACGGGGCUAAACCAUGCACCGAAGCUGCGGCAGCGACGCUGAUGCGUUGUUGGGUAGGGGAGCGUUCUGUAAGCCUGCGAAGGUGUGCUGUGAGGCAUGCUGGAGGUAUCAGAAGUGCGAAUGCUGACAUAAGUAACGAUAAAGCGGGUGAAAAGCCCGCUCGCCGGAAGACCAAGGGUUCCUGUCCAACGUUAAUCGGGGCAGGGUGAGUCGACCCCUAAGGCGAGGCCGAAAGGCGUAGUCGAUGGGAAACAGGUUAAUAUUCCUGUACUUGGUGUUACUGCGAAGGGGGGACGGAGAAGGCUAUGUUGGCCGGGCGACGGUUGUCCCGGUUUAAGCGUGUAGGCUGGUUUUCCAGGCAAAUCCGGAAAAUCAAGGCUGAGGCGUGAUGACGAGGCACUACGGUGCUGAAGCAACAAAUGCCCUGCUUCCAGGAAAAGCCUCUAAGCAUCAGGUAACAUCAAAUCGUACCCCAAACCGACACAGGUGGUCAGGUAGAGAAUACCAAGGCGCUUGAGAGAACUCGGGUGAAGGAACUAGGCAAAAUGGUGCCGUAACUUCGGGAGAAGGCACGCUGAUAUGUAGGUGAAGUCCCUCGCGGAUGGAGCUGAAAUCAGUCGAAGAUACCAGCUGGCUGCAACUGUUUAUUAAAAACACAGCACUGUGCAAACACGAAAGUGGACGUAUACGGUGUGACGCCUGCCCGGUGCCGGAAGGUUAAUUGAUGGGGUUAGCGCAAGCGAAGCUCUUGAUCGAAGCCCCGGUAAACGGCGGCCGUAACUAUAACGGUCCUAAGGUAGCGAAAUUCCUUGUCGGGUAAGUUCCGACCUGCACGAAUGGCGUAAUGAUGGCCAGGCUGUCUCCACCCGAGACUCAGUGAAAUUGAACUCGCUGUGAAGAUGCAGUGUACCCGCGGCAAGACGGAAAGACCCCGUGAACCUUUACUAUAGCUUGACACUGAACAUUGAGCCUUGAUGUGUAGGAUAGGUGGGAGGCUUUGAAGUGUGGACGCCAGUCUGCAUGGAGCCGACCUUGAAAUACCACCCUUUAAUGUUUGAUGUUCUAACGUGGACCCGUGAUCCGGGUUGCGGACAGUGUCUGGUGGGUAGUUUGACUGGGGCGGUCUCCUCCUAAAGAGUAACGGAGGAGCACGAAGGUUGGCUAAUCCUGGUCGGACAUCAGGAGGUUAGUGCAAUGGCAUAAGCCAGCUUGACUGCGAGCGUGACGGCGCGAGCAGGUGCGAAAGCAGGUCAUAGUGAUCCGGUGGUUCUGAAUGGAAGGGCCAUCGCUCAACGGAUAAAAGGUACUCCGGGGAUAACAGGCUGAUACCGCCCAAGAGUUCAUAUCGACGGCGGUGUUUGGCACCUCGAUGUCGGCUCAUCACAUCCUGGGGCUGAAGUAGGUCCCAAGGGUAUGGCUGUUCGCCAUUUAAAGUGGUACGCGAGCUGGGUUUAGAACGUCGUGAGACAGUUCGGUCCCUAUCUGCCGUGGGCGCUGGAGAACUGAGGGGGGCUGCUCCUAGUACGAGAGGACCGGAGUGGACGCAUCACUGGUGUUCGGGUUGUCAUGCCAAUGGCACUGCCCGGUAGCUAAAUGCGGAAGAGAUAAGUGCUGAAAGCAUCUAAGCACGAAACUUGCCCCGAGAUGAGUUCUCCCUGACUCCUUGAGAGUCCUGAAGGAACGUUGAAGACGACGACGUUGAUAGGCCGGGUGUGUAAGCGCAGCGAUGCGUUGAGCUAACCGGUACUAAUGAACCGUGAGGCUUAACCUU
RNAcentral lists this ribosomal RNA (2904 nucleotides) under Escherichia coli. Its description in RNAcentral is "23S ribosomal RNA". It matches the Rfam family "Bacterial large subunit ribosomal RNA". RNAcentral also lists the same sequence under 1 other name. Lineage: Bacteria; Pseudomonadati; Pseudomonadota; Gammaproteobacteria; Enterobacterales; Enterobacteriaceae. The record is from RNAcentral.